Molecule: ribosomal RNA, 191 nt
Filed under: uncultured bacterium
Lineage: Bacteria
Description: partial 16S ribosomal RNA
Rfam family: Bacterial small subunit ribosomal RNA
Source: RNAcentral
CCUACGGGAGGCAGCAGUCGGGAAUUUUGGGCAAUGGGCGAAAGCCUGACCCAGCAACGCCGCGUGAAGGAUGAAAUCCCUCGGGAUGUAAACUUCGCAAGAACGGGAAGAAUAAGUGGAAGUUAAUAUCUUCCAUGAUGACGGUACUGUUUGUAAGCUCCGGCUAACUACGUGCCAGCAGCCGCGGUAAU